RNA transcript from Falco peregrinus (peregrine falcon), 1164 nucleotides. It is a transcript of the gene named family with sequence similarity 174 member A, with no coding region annotated. Lineage: Eukaryota; Metazoa; Chordata; Aves; Falconiformes; Falconidae. The record is from RefSeq and is a predicted model, not a curated record. The transcript has 4 exons.
UUCCGGAGGCCAGAGGGCGGCAGGGCCCGGCCGCGCUUAGGCCGCGCUGGGCGGCAGCGGGGGUCGGGCCCGGCGCUGGGCGGGAGGAGGGGGCGACAUGUGGACGCCACCGCUGCCCUGGUUGCUGACGGGGCUGCUGCUGUCUGCCCGUUGCUGGGAGGUGGCGGCGGCGGCCGCCCUUCCCCGCCGGAGCGCCGCCACUGCCUCCCCUCGCCCCACGGAGGUGGCCGGCGGGGGCGCCACGCGGAGCAGCGGCAGCCGCCUGGCGGAGGUGUCGGCGCCGCCUGAGCAAGGCCAGCCCAUGACCCAGCGCGCCCUGUCCGUGCUGGUGCUGACUAGCGGAGCGCUCAUCGUCUACUUCGUGAUCCGGACCGUGCGGCUCAGAAGGCGAAACAGAAAAACCCGAAGAUACGGAGUUUUGGAUACAAACAUAGAAAACAUGGAGCUGACCCCAUUAGAGCAAGAUGAUGAUGAUGAUGAUACAACACUGUUUGAUGCCAAUCAUCCUCGAAGUUGGACAAGGGAUGUCAAGAUCACUUGAAUUUUAAAUGGGCAAGAAUUUAGUGGGCAAGAAGAUAAACACCAUUUGUCUUCAGCAUGUGAGUUCCAGAGAAAUGGAGAGGAAGAGAAGUACGUGCCUUUCAGUGAAAGAACUUAAUCUUAGAACCAGAGAAGGAGACUGCUUCAUGGAAGGACUAAGAAGCAAAAGUAUAUGCAGUUUGGAGGGGCUAAUUUAAUUUGUGUAUAUUAUGGCAUCCUUAAUUUGUUGCAAUAAAUACUGUACCAACUUGUACCUUUCUGUAUAUAGAGAAUUCUAAAUGUAAAGUCUACGGGGAGAGAGGACACUAAAAUGAAAACUUAUUUGGAAGGGAGAUUACUUUUGAAAAUGGGGUAUUUUUUGUAUGCCAUAAGUGUGGUAUACACUUUUUCUACAGUAAUCUGGAAUGUUAACAAUUUAUUUUUUUUUUUGCUGAUAUUAAAUUGUAAGUAAAUAUAGCCUCUGUGGACUCCUCAGAAUUGUUAGAACUUGAUUUUAGUUGAGGAGAUCAUUUAUUCUGUGCAAAUAAAAAGCCAAACUACUGCCUCGUGUGUUGAGAUGUUUUUUAAACUGAAUUAACAUGUUUUAUGUAAACUUUAUUGAACAAAUAAAAACUAUUUACAGUG